This 1299-nucleotide ribosomal RNA is filed under the name Streptomyces albidoflavus. RNAcentral describes it as "partial 23S ribosomal RNA". It matches the Rfam family "Bacterial large subunit ribosomal RNA", at positions 1 to 1215 of the family's 2925-position model. The record is from RNAcentral. Lineage: Bacteria; Bacillati; Actinomycetota; Actinomycetes; Kitasatosporales; Streptomycetaceae.
ACAGUGGACGCGAGCAUCUGUGGCCAAGUUUUUAAGGGCGCACGGUGGAUGCCUUGGCACCAGGAACCGAUGAAGGACGUGGGAGGCCACGAUAGUCCCCGGGGAGUCGUCAACCAGGCUUUGAUCCGGGGGUUUCCGAAUGGGGAAACCCGGCAGUCGUCAUGGGCUGUCACCCGCUGCUGAACUCAUAGGCAGUGUGGAGGGAACGCGGGGAAGUGAAACAUCUCAGUACCCGCAGGAAGAGAAAACAACCGUGAUUCCGGGAGUAGUGGCGAGCGAAACUGGAUGAGGCCAAACCGUAUGUGUGUGAUACCCGGCAGGGGUUGCGCAUGCGGGGUUGUGGGAUCUCUCUUCCACGGUCUGCCGGCCGUGGGACGAGUCAGAAACCGUUGAUGUAGGCGAAGGACAUGCGAAAGGUCCGGCGUAGAGGGUAAGACCCCCGUAGUCGAAACAUCAGCGGCUCGUUUGAGAGACACCCAAGUAGCACGGGGCCCGAGAAAUCCCGUGUGAAUCUGGCGGGACCACCCGCUAAGCCUAAAUAUUCCCUGGUGACCGAUAGCGGAUAGUACCGUGAGGGAAUGGUGAAAAGUACCGCGGGAGCGGAGUGAAAUAGUACCUGAAACCGUGUGCCUACAAGCCGUGGGAGCGUCGCGCAUCGAGCUUGCUCGGUGCGUCGUGACUGCGUGCCUUUUGAAGAAUGAGCCUGCGAGUUAGCGGUGUGUAGCGAGGUUAACCCGUGUGGGGAAGCCGUAGCGAAAGCGAGUCCGAACAGGGCGUUUGAGUUGCACGCUCUAGACCCGAAGCGGAGUGAUCUAGCCAUGGGCAGGUUGAAGCGGCUGUAAGAGGUCGUGGAGGACCGAACCCACCAGGGUUGAAAACCUGGGGGAUGACCUGUGGUUAGGGGUGAAAGGCCAAUCAAACUCCGUGAUAGCUGGUUCUCCCCGAAAUGCAUUUAGGUGCAGCGUCGUGUGUUUCUUGCCGGAGGUAGAGCACUGGAUAGGCGAUGGGCCCUACCGGGUUACUGACCUUAGCCAAACUCCGAAUGCCGGUAAGUGAGAGCGCGGCAGUGAGACUGUGGGGGAUAAGCUCCAUGGUCGAGAGGGAAACAGCCCAGAGCAUCGACUAAGGCCCCUAAGCGUACGCUAAGUGGGAAAGGAUGUGGAGUCGCAGAGACAACCAGGAGGUUGGCUUAGAAGCAGCCACCCUUGAAAGAGUGCGUAAUAGCUCACUGGUCUAGUGAUUCCGCGCCGACAAUGUAGCGGGGCUCAAGCGUACCGCCGAAGUCGUGUCAUUGCAGCA